CAUGGAGUAACAAGCUAGAGCGGUUACUCUACUAAAGAUCCUCAUUACCACACCUGUGACCACUGCAGAAGCUGAGAGGUGCUUCUCCACCUGGAAAAGAAUCAAAACAUUUCUCAGAAACACCAUGAACCAGAACAGGCUGAAUGCACUGGACAUGCUGUCAGCGGAAAAGAAACUGUGACAGAGAUGACGGACUUUAAUCAGAGGGUCAUCGAGAAAUUUACAGUUCAGAAAGAAAGGAGGGUGAACUUCUGUUCAAGAAGAGCCUCUGAAUGUUGUUGGGCAGCAGGUUGUGUUGUGAUUGUGAUUUGUCUUUAGUUUGUUCUUUUGUCACUUCUGUAUUUUGUUUUGU
This is a long non-coding RNA of Thalassophryne amazonica, 352 nucleotides long. RefSeq lists it as uncharacterized. The transcript is spliced from 3 exons. The record is from RefSeq and is a predicted model, not a curated record. Lineage: Eukaryota; Metazoa; Chordata; Actinopteri; Batrachoidiformes; Batrachoididae.